AAAGCAGGGGAUCGCAAGACCUUACGCUUUUGGAGCGGCCGAUGUCUGAUUAGCUAGUUGGUGAGGUAAAGGCUUACCAAGGCUUCGAUCAGUAGCUGGUCUGAGAGGACGACCAGCCACACUGGGACUGAGACACGGCCCAGACUCCUACGGGAGGCAGCAGUGGGGAAUUUUGGACAAUGGGCGAAACCCUGAUCCAGCCAUGCCGCGUGAGUGAAGAAGGCCUUCGGGUUGUAAAGCUCUUUCAGCCGGAAAGAAACGGUUACGAUUAAUACCUGUAACUAAUGACGGUACCGAAAGAAGAAGCACCGGCUAACUACGUGCCAGCAGCCGCGGUAAUACGUAGGGUGCGAGCGUUAAUCGGAAUUACUGGGCGUAAAGGGUGCGCAGGCGGCUUUGUAAGUCAGAUGUGAAAUCCCCGGGCUUAACCUGGGAACUGCGUUUGAAACUACAAGGCUAGA
Molecule: ribosomal RNA, 461 nt
Filed under: uncultured ammonia-oxidizing beta proteobacterium
Lineage: Bacteria; Pseudomonadati; Pseudomonadota; Betaproteobacteria
Description: bacterial SSU rRNA
Rfam family: Bacterial small subunit ribosomal RNA
Source: RNAcentral